CUGGGUGUGAUGCAUGCUAACAUCUGACUGACAGUGAAGGUGUUUGUAUUCAUACUGUCUGAUCCAG
This 67-nucleotide small nucleolar RNA is filed under the name Seriola dumerili (greater amberjack). The record is from RNAcentral. Lineage: Eukaryota; Metazoa; Chordata; Actinopteri; Carangiformes; Carangidae.